GGGUUGUGAGGUUAAGCGACUAAGCGUACACGGUGGAUGCCCUGGCAGUCAGAGGCGAUGAAGGACGUGCUAAUCUGCGAUAAGCGUCGGUAAGGUGAUAUGAACCGUUAUAACCGGCGAUUUCCGAAUGGGGAAACCCAGUGUGUUUCGACACACUAUCAUUAACUGAAUCCAUAGGUUAAUGAGGCGAACCGGGGGAACUGAAACAUCUAAGUACCCCGAGGAAAAGAAAUCAACCGAGAUUCCCCCAGUAGCGGCGAGCGAACGGGGAGGAGCCCAGAGCCUGAAUCAGUGUGUGUGUUAGUGGAAGCGUCUGGAAAGGCGCGCGAUACAGGGUGACAGCCCCGUACACAAAAAUGCACAUGCUGUGAGCUCGAUGAGUAGGGCGGGACACGUGGUAUCCUGUCUGAAUAUGGGGGGACCAUCCUCCAAGGCUAAAUACUCCUGACUGACCGAUAGUGAACCAGUACCGUGAGGGAAAGGCGAAAAGAACCCCGGCGAGGGGAGUGAAAAAGAACCUGAAACCGUGUACGUACAAGCAGUGGGAGCACGCUUAGGCGUGUGACUGCGUACCUUUUGUAUAAUGGGUCAGCGACUUAUAUUCUGUAGCAAGGUUAACCGAAUAGGGGAGCCGAAGGGAAACCGAGUCUUAACUGGGCGUUAAGUUGCAGGGUAUAGACCCGAAACCCGGUGAUCUAGCCAUGGGCAGGUUGAAGGUUGGGUAACACUAACUGGAGGACCGAACCGACUAAUGUUGAAAAAUUAGCGGAUGACUUGUGGCUGGGGGUGAAAGGCCAAUCAAACCGGGAGAUAGCUGGUUCUCCCCGAAAGCUAUUUAGGUAGCGCCUCGUGAAUUCAUCUCCGGGGGUAGAGCACUGUUUCGGCAAGGGGGUCAUCCCGACUUACCAACCCGAUGCAAACUGCGAAUACCGGAGAAUGUUAUCACGGGAGACACACGGCGGGUGCUAACGUCCGUCGUGAAGAGGGAAACAACCCAGACCGCCAGCUAAGGUCCCAAAGUCAUGGUUAAGUGGGAAACGAUGUGGGAAGGCCCAGACAGCCAGGAUGUUGGCUUAGAAGCAGCCAUCAUUUAAAGAAAGCGUAAUAGCUCACUGGUCGAGUCGGCCUGCGCGGAAGAUGUAACGGGGCUAAACCAUGCACCGAAGCUGCGGCAGCGACGCUUAUGCGUUGUUGGGUAGGGGAGCGUUCUGUAAGCCUGUGAAGGUGUGCUGUGAGGCAUGCUGGAGGUAUCAGAAGUGCGAAUGCUGACAUAAGUAACGAUAAAGCGGGUGAAAAGCCCGCUCGCCGGAAGACCAAGGGUUCCUGUCCAACGUUAAUCGGGGCAGGGUGAGUCGACCCCUAAGGCGAGGCCGAAAGGCGUAGUCGAUGGGAAACAGGUUAAUAUUCCUGUACUUGGUGUUACUGCGAAGGGGGGACGGAGAAGGCUAUGUUGGCCGGGCGACGGUUGUCCCGGUUUAAGCGUGUAGGCUGGUUUUCCAGGCAAAUCCGGAAAAUCAAGGCUGAGGCGUGAUGACGAGGCACUACGGUGCUGAAGCAACAAAUGCCCUGCUUCCAGGAAAAGCCUCUAAGCAUCAGGUAACAUCAAAUCGUACCCCAAACCGACACAGGUGGUCAGGUAGAGAAUACCAAGGCGCUUGAGAGAACUCGGGUGAAGGAACUAGGCAAAAUGGUGCCGUAACUUCGGGAGAAGGCACGCUGAUAUGUAGGUGAAGUCCCUUGCGGAUGGAGCUGAAAUCAGUCGAAGAUACCAGCUGGCUGCAACUGUUUAUUAAAAACACAGCACUGUGCAAACACGAAAGUGGACGUAUACGGUGUGACGCCUGCCCGGUGCCGGAAGGUUAAUUGAUGGGGUUAGCCGCAAGGCGAAGCUCUUGAUCGAAGCCCCGGUAAACGGCGGCCGUAACUAUAACGGUCCUAAGGUAGCGAAAUUCCUUGUCGGGUAAGUUCCGACCUGCACGAAUGGCGUAAUGAUGGCCAGGCUGUCUCCACCCGAGACUCAGUGAAAUUGAACUCGCUGUGAAGAUGCAGUGUACCCGCGGCAAGACGGAAAGACCCCGUGAACCUUUACUAUAGCUUGACACUGAACAUUGAGCCUUGAUGUGUAGGAUAGGUGGGAGGCUUUGAAGUGUGGACGCCAGUCUGCAUGGAGCCGACCUUGAAAUACCACCCUUUAAUGUUUGAUGUUCUAACGUUGACCCGUAAUCCGGGUUGCGGACAGUGUCUGGUGGGUAGUUUGACUGGGGCGGUCUCCUCCUAAAGAGUAACGGAGGAGCACGAAGGUUGGCUAAUCCUGGUCGGACAUCAGGAGGUUAGUGCAAUGGCAUAAGCCAGCUUGACUGCGAGCGUGACGGCGCGAGCAGGUGCGAAAGCAGGUCAUAGUGAUCCGGUGGUUCUGAAUGGAAGGGCCAUCGCUCAACGGAUAAAAGGUACUCCGGGGAUAACAGGCUGAUACCGCCCAAGAGUUCAUAUCGACGGCGGUGUUUGGCACCUCGAUGUCGGCUCAUCACAUCCUGGGGCUGAAGUAGGUCCCAAGGGUAUGGCUGUUCGCCAUUUAAAGUGGUACGCGAGCUGGGUUUAGAACGUCGUGAGACAGUUCGGUCCCUAUCUGCCGUGGGCGCUGGAGAACUGAGGGGGGCUGCUCCUAGUACGAGAGGACCGGAGUGGACGCAUCACUGGUGUUCGGGUUGUCAUGCCAAUGGCACUGCCCGGUAGCUAAAUGCGGAAGAGAUAAGUGCUGAAAGCAUCUAAGCACGAAACUUGCCCCGAGAUGAGUUCUCCCUGACCCUUUAAGGGUCCUGAAGGAACGUUGAAGACGACGACGUUGAUAGGCCGGGUGUGUAAGCGCAGCGAUGCGUUGAGCUAACCGGUACUAAUGAACCGUGAGGCUUAACCUUACAACGCCGAAG
This 2927-nucleotide ribosomal RNA is filed under the name Escherichia coli. RNAcentral's name for it is "23S ribosomal RNA". It matches the Rfam family "Bacterial large subunit ribosomal RNA". The record is from RNAcentral. Lineage: Bacteria; Pseudomonadati; Pseudomonadota; Gammaproteobacteria; Enterobacterales; Enterobacteriaceae.